GAUGAAGAACGUAGCGAAAUGCUAUAAGUAAUGUGAAUUGCAGAAUUCAGUGAAUCAUCGAAUCUUUGAACGCACAUUGCGCCCGCCAGUAUUCUGGCGGGCAUGCCUGUUCGAGCGUCAUUUCAACCAUCAAGCCCCCGGGCUUGUGUUGGGGACCUGCGGCUGCCGCAGGCCCUGAAAAGCAGUGGCGGGCUCGCUGUCACACCGAGCGUAGUAGCAUACAUCUCGCUCUGGGCGUGCUGCGGGUUCCGGCCGUUAAACCACCUUUUAACCCAAGGUUGACCUCGGAUCAGGUAGGAAGACCCGCUGAACUUAAGCAUAUCAAUAAGCGGAGGA
This 336-nucleotide unclassified non-coding RNA is filed under the name soil metagenome. Its description in RNAcentral is "partial contains 5.8S ribosomal RNA, internal transcribed spacer 2, and large subunit ribosomal RNA". The stretch from base 1 to 120 matches the Rfam family "5.8S ribosomal RNA", at positions 35 to 154 of the family's 154-position model. The record is from RNAcentral.